RNAcentral lists this ribosomal RNA (440 nucleotides) under uncultured bacterium. RNAcentral describes it as "partial 16S ribosomal RNA". It matches the Rfam family "Bacterial small subunit ribosomal RNA", at positions 338 to 795 of the family's 1533-position model. The record is from RNAcentral.
CCUACGGGAGGCAGCAGUGGGGAAUAUUGCGCAAUGGGGGAAACCCUGAUGCAGCGACGCCGCGUGAGCGAUGAAGUAUUUCGGUAUGUAAAGCUCUAUCAGCAGGGAAGAAAAUGACGGUACCUGCCUAAGAAGCCCCGGCUAACUACGUGCCAGCAGCCGCGGCAAUACGUCGGGGGCAAGCGUCAUCCGGAUUUACUGGGUGUAAAGGGAGCGUAGACGGCUGUGCAAGCCAGAUGUGAAAGGCCGGGGCUCAACCCCGGGACUGCAUUUGAAACUGUGUGGCUGGAGUGUCGGAGAGGCAGGCGGAAUUCCUAGUGUAGCGGUGAAAUGCGUAGAUAUUAGGAGGAACACCAGUGGCGAAGGCGGCCUGCUGGACGAUGACUGACGUUGAGGCUCGAAAGCGUGGGGAGCAAACAGGAUUAGAUACCCUAGUAGUC